RNAcentral lists this long non-coding RNA (1017 nucleotides) under Ananas comosus (pineapple). RNAcentral describes it as "long non-coding RNA (ACOM_LNC037889)". Lineage: Eukaryota; Viridiplantae; Streptophyta; Magnoliopsida; Poales; Bromeliaceae. The record is from RNAcentral.
AUGCAUGUACAAUGAAGUAGGUAAGCAACGAACCUGUUAUCAUGUCCAAAGGUGAAGCUAUUCACUCAUUCAUUAACCUCAUUCACUUGUUCAUUAAUCUCAUGGCUUACCCGAAGGCUCGCCUACAGCUCACUAGCCAUCUCGACACGUAGGGAGAAUUAACUCACACUACGGACCCGAGACCGUCUGGCGGGGCCAAAUAGGCAAUCCCUGACGUGACCAACAUCCGGAGCGCACUACUUGUGUGGGGCUUCCAUCACAAGAUUUAAAACAGACCGUGAGCAUGAUCCAAUCCUCGUCUCGAGAAUACCCUAUCCUCUAGGGUUACAAUCAUCAUAUAGUCCAUAGGUUUCACAUACACUAUUAACUAGAUUGCCAAUUGUCCGUUUGUUCGCUAUCGACUAGAUGCCACUCGUUCAGGGUUUACUAUUGACUAGAUGCCACUCAUUCUUUGUUCAUCAUUAGACUAACCAUUGAGCCCAUCAUUUUCUCUACACUAUAGGAUUCACAAGACUCGACCCAAUCCUCACCAAUCCUCUGUAUCCAAUAUCCCAUACAUGCUACGAUAUCAUCAAGGAAAGCAUAAGGAAAGGCAAUGCAUAAUAAUCCUAUAAUGCAAUAAUACAAGAUGCAGAAUCGAAGUGUACUAAGACAUAGAAGGGAGCCCGAUUGCUUCGGGAUGGACACCACCAACCUCUUGGCGAUGUCGCGACAAUAGAAAACUCGACGUUGCGGUUCUUGUACGCCGCUUCAACUCCUCGGGGCGAAGCGAGCCCUCGAGUACCCAAUUCGGCGAUAACUCCGCACUCGCUCGUCGGAUCGGCAAACCGUCUUCGCCGAUACGUUCAAAGACCUAGCAAUUAGGUUAGCGACCCAACAAAUUAGAUCAAAACCCUAGAUUUGCCAAAAUCCCAAUUCUAAGCCCUAGGUCUCAACAACGGAGAAAUCCAUGGUGCGAGCUUCGAUUUCGAGCUCGAACCUUCUAUUUAUCCCUAAUAGGUUCCAUUUGAACCAAUU